Molecule: long non-coding RNA, 2573 nt
Filed under: Ananas comosus (pineapple)
Lineage: Eukaryota; Viridiplantae; Streptophyta; Magnoliopsida; Poales; Bromeliaceae
Description: long non-coding RNA (ACOM_LNC002732)
Source: RNAcentral
UGGGGUCCAGCUCAGCGCAGUGUACUAGUUGCGAGGAAGCGGGCCCCACUAUACAUUGAACCUAAUAUACAACGCAACCAAGAGUUAAAGUUAGAAACUUGAGAGAACCUGCAGUAGUAGCAGAAUAAAUUUUAAUAUCAUUAAAUGAGAAAUUGACCGAGACUUUUAGAAAUAAGAAAGUUUAACAGUGAGACACCAAAGAGACUACAGUAAUAGCAAAGAAUGGCAUAAUACAAGUUAAUUCUUAUUGGAGAACCCUGUCUCCCUCUGGCACGUAAAAAAGUGCAUUGUUUACAUCAUUGAGGGCAUCUAACUCACUCUAUAGUUUUGUACUGCUGCUUAAUUUACAAAACUCCUGUAUUUGAAGGGGUUACUGCUGCGUUUUGUCAUUGUUGUAGAACAACAACCCAUGAAUAUAGAGUUUGAAAGCAAACAACAAUAACAAAAUCAAAGGAAAUCACUUACAAAAUCAAAGGAAAUCACUUCAAACUACCUUUGAUCGCAUAGAAAUUAAAAAGAAGAUAAUGGAGGAGGAAUAUAAUUCAUAAAAUGCCAAAAACAAGACCUAAGAUACUGAAUCUUUAUGAUAAAAUGGGCAAGAUGGUGUCACAUUAGUAAAAUCACCUGACUAUUUCGAAAAUUGUGCUGAAAUGUACAAAAGUUAAUCAUUUAUUAAAACUUCAGCAGAGGAUCUAUAAUUGAAAUCACCUAAUAAUGUUUGAGCAAACUAUAUCAGAGAAAAACAACUAAUCGAUGUACAUUGCUAAACAUGAUGGGAGCAUGAUAGCGCAAGAGUAAUUCCUAACUACUACCAAAAUACAUUCCGCAAUAUUUGCCCAAAAAAUGAUAAAUAUUGGAUAUUAAAGUACGAGACAUCCGAUUUCCAAGUUGAAAAGGAUAAAACAUCUAGAGCAUUACAUAUGCACAACAGGUAAAACUUUGCCGUUGCCGGUCAACGAUACGUAAUACGUAAUAGAAAAAAUUGAAAAAAUACAAAGACAAAUGCGCAUCAAAGAAGUUUUUGCACUAAUAAAGCUAAAACACAAACGCAAUCAAAUUUGAUCGAACUCAACGAGAUUCACAACUCAAUAGAAAGGAAAGAGAGAAACAAUUGAGUUCCCAACAAGAAAAUGUCUGUCACCCAAGAUUCAAACAUUAUUAACAUUUUAGUAUGAACAUAGAUAGGGGAACCAAAAAAAACAAAAAAGACUUAUCAACAAAUAAUUGGGUUCAUACCUGCGAUCUUUUCGGAACCAAAUGCUUAUUUCUUCGCCUCAUUCGCUCGUCAUCCCAACAAAUAACUCUUUCCUAUCAUUCCACAACCAAAAAGUUUCUCACCCCAAAUUCACACUACUGAAUCCUCCCAGGUAUGUCUAAAACUCCUUCCCCUCCUCCNCCCCCCCCCCCCCCCCCCUCCCCUCCCAACAACCAAGAUGAAGAAACCUCCACUAAAACUACCCCCACAAUGUACACAGCACUCUUCUUCUUCUCUAUCUCUCUCUCUCUCUCUCUCACUCUCCCCAGUUGGGUGGGCUUAUACCCUACCAUCUGGUUGAGCUGUAACCAUCCCCCAUUGUACUUAUAAACCUCCCUAUAGAUUAAUCAAAAAUCUCAUGUUCCUAAAUCAUGGUUUAAGCAAUGACAAUGCCGACAGAUAGUGACGCGGCGCCGACGCAAGACACAAGUUUUUUAUUUUUUCCCCCUCCUCCUUUUUCCCCCUCCCUUCUCCUUCACUUCUCUACCACCAAUCCAAAUGGAAUGGAUAUAAAGGAGGCUCUUUUAUUCUUCCUCAGGCACAAACAACCACUAGCCAUUAAAGAAAAAGGAUCAAAAGAGAAAGGAAGAACCCCAAUGACAGGGGAUGUUAGUACCCAGGGAAUAUGAUAUGCCUCAGAAGAGAAUUAAACAAAGGGAGGGGGGAGGAAUUAGAGAAAGGGAGCUCCUUUUUUUUCUUUUUUUUUAAUAUAUGGGCUGUAAAGAGAGGAUUGAAAGGGGUUUUCUGACACUGCUACAAGUUGGAGGGUUCUGUGUGCAAAACUUUCCUUCUCUUUUUCCUCCUCACCACUCUUCUCCUGAGCAUCUUCAACAAUGGAGUUGUUGGAGAGAGAGAGAGAGAGAGAGAGAGAGAGAGAGAGAGAGGAAAAAAUUGAAUUUUGGAGAGGUGGGUAACUGGGUAUGGAUUAGAUAGAGCUGUAUCUCGAUGAAAACAAGAUCAAAUUGAAGUAAAACAACCAAAAAAAGAAAAGAAAAAAAAAAAAAAAGAGGUUCAAUUGGUUGUAAACUUGUAAUCAGAAAGAAGGAGACAGCUAUGUUUUCUAGUGAAAGCUAAGGAGUUGUUAUCAGAAACAGGACAGCUAUAUUGACAUUGUUCCUACCAUAAAAAUAAAACAAGAUAAAUAGAAAAAAAAAAAAAAGAAAAGAAUUGAGGGGUAAAAAAAAAAGAAAUAAACAAAAUGAUUUAGAGGGGAAAAGGUUAAAAAUAAUAAUAAUAAUAAGGGCUACCUCACUCCCUGAGGAGGUGUUCUCCUACCAACAACAUGACCCAGCUCCUCUUUUUUCUUGUUUUUUUUUUU